UAACUUCUGAUUUCUUUGUACUUUAAUUAAUGCAAACACAUUUAUGGUAAAUAUGAUGUUCGUAUAUACGGGCUCGCUGUGUCACCACGCAGGGCAGACAGAGAACUCAGUUACACAUCCUUUGCUUUUCAUUAAAUACUCUGACAGAGAUAGUUCCCACUCACUGCUGGCCUGUCAGAGGGAGGAUGAGCGUGGUUUAAACUUACUCAUCCUAUCGUUGGCGUGCAGGUUGGUCCCAACCUCGAGACGCCUCCUGUUGCCGGGCGUAGUUAUUAUCUUUGGCAGUCGAUUUAUCUUGUUGCACAAUGCAGUUCUCUAAAACCCUGACACCCCUCCGCAUAUACAUUUCACCCAUAUCCUGCCCAUAUCUUUUAACAAGCUCUUCCACAUCCCUGAUUUACAGCAUCUGCAUUCUUUCCAUAUGACUCACCAUCCCAUGGCCCCUUCCUCUCACACAGCAGUAUGCUCUUAUCAUAUAGAGUAUAAACUUAAUAUUAUAGCAUAGCUUCUUUGUUAUAUUAUAUAGGUUAUGCAAACAAAUAGUUGAUCAAACCCUAACACAAGUCAAACGCCAUUUUAAUCAGGAGAAUUUCCUCUUUUAAUUAUUUAAGUCUGGGCCGCAAGCUCCACUGUCAUCAAACGCUAGCCCAAAAAUACUUGUUUUCACUUGGAAAGCUGAGCUCCCCCCAUUGUUUGCCUAUGCAGAGGAACAGUCUGGGAAGCGAGCUCAUUUGUCAUCGAUCGCUAGACCAGAAAUAGUCAGAAGUUUUCAUUUUUUCCGUACUUCCUCAUUACGCAGCCAUAAGCACAGUUGACACCAUCGAGGUGCGGAGGUUUACUUUCUACCCCAGUUGCUUUUUUAUCAGUUUCGUCUGACGAGCAGAUUGUAGUGGUAAAAUGAAAAGGGAUCAACAAAAAUUGUGCCAUUUUGGCGAAAUGGAAUUCUAAGCGUCACUCCGGUCAAAACAUCUGCGGCCGUUCGAUUCCAUUUAUUUGCUAUGAGCUCGCGCUAGUGUUCCAGCUUAUCCAACGUUCUUAAGCCGUUUUUCAGCCUGGGGUGAAUUUUGACUCGCUCUAUUGUCCAGCCUAACAGGACUGUGAAUAUUGUAGCUUGUCCCUGAGCUGUUGGAGGAAUGGUUCUUGCCUCUCUGCCUGCUGGAGGUACUGCAUGUUGGAUCCAACCUUAAAAUUAACAACAAAUAAAGUUAGCAGCUAGUUAACUGCAUAACUACAGAGCAUCAAGGGGAGCUGCCCUCCCUACCUUCAGACGAUGCUCAAACAGAUGCUGAGUGGGAUCUUUGAGAAGACCCUACACCCAAAACCAUUCUGCCAGAUCUGGACUCUUGGCCCACCUAACUUCAGGACAGCUGUAUACCUGCCCAUCUCCAUAAAACUUGCAGUUUUCAAGUUAAUUUCCUGCAGUUCUACACAUUUUGCCAUGAGGCAGAAAUAAAGGGAAUCUCUCACGAAGGUUGUAUAUUGCAGGCUUUUUCUGCAAUGUAUAUGUAAUGAGUGCUUACUUAUUCUGGCAGUGAUGGCUUAUGCCAUUUUUAUGUUAUUCCUAUAACGAUUUUCUCUCACUUAGCAAUUGUUAAACUCUCCUGUGUUGAAAGUGCACUGAGCAACCUGCAUGGUAUAUGUAUCAUAGCAAGUCUGGUGGUUUCACCUUUUGAUUUAGUUGUGCUCUCAUGUCAAAAAAUUACUUGUUUGCUUGAAAGCCUCAAAGGAGUCACGAAAGUAGGCUUUUAAUACGUGUGCUCCCCACUUGAUCACUUUCAUCAACUUCUCUACAGCCAUCCUUUUUUCUGUUGUUUACAGUAACCAGAAAUAUCUGUACAGUUUAUUCUGUUCCAUAGCCAC
RNAcentral lists this long non-coding RNA (1860 nucleotides) under Salmo salar (Atlantic salmon). RNAcentral's name for it is "lncRNA (ENSSSAG00000101609.1)". The record is from RNAcentral. Lineage: Eukaryota; Metazoa; Chordata; Actinopteri; Salmoniformes; Salmonidae.